CCUACGGGAGGCAGCAGUGAGGAAUAUUGGUCAAUGGGCGGGAGCCUGAACCAGCCAAGUCGCGUGAAGGAAGAAGGUACUUAGUAUUGUAAACUUCUUUUGUCGGGGAACAAAGGCGGAGACGCGUCUCCGGAUGAGUGUACCCGAAGAAAAAGCAUCGGCUAACUCCGUGCCAGCAGCCGCGGUAAUACGGAGGAUGCGAGCGUUGUCCGGAAUUACUGGGUGUAAAGGGAGCGUAGGCGGGACUGCAAGUUGGGUGUCAAAUCUACCGGCUCAACCGGUAGCCGCACUCAAAACUGCAGUGCUUGAGUGAAGUAGAGGCAGGCGGAAUUCCUAGUGUAGCGGUGAAAUGCGUAGAUAUUAGGAGGAACACCAGUGGCGAAGGCGGCCUGCUGGGCUUUUACUGACGCUGAGGCUCGAAAGUGUGGGGAGCAAACAGGAUUAGAUACCCGUGUAGUC
Molecule: ribosomal RNA, 459 nt
Filed under: uncultured bacterium
Lineage: Bacteria
Description: partial 16S ribosomal RNA
Rfam family: Bacterial small subunit ribosomal RNA
Source: RNAcentral